RNAcentral lists this ribosomal RNA (431 nucleotides) under uncultured bacterium. RNAcentral describes it as "partial 16S ribosomal RNA". It matches the Rfam family "Bacterial small subunit ribosomal RNA", at positions 29 to 505 of the family's 1533-position model. The record is from RNAcentral.
AACGAACGCUGGCGGCAUGCCUAACACAUGCAAGUCGAACGAGACCUUCGGGUCUAGUGGCGCACGGGUGCGUAACGCGUGGGAACCUGCCCUUAGGUUCGGAAUAACUCCCCGAAAGGGGUGCUAAUACCGGAUAAUGUCUUCGGACCAAAGAUUUAUCGCCUUUGGAUGGGCCCGCGUUGGAUUAGCUAGUUGGUAGGGUAAAAGCCUACCAAGGCGACGAUCCAUAGCUGGUCUGAGAGGAUGAUCAGCCACACUGGGACUGAGACACGGCCCAGACUCCUACGAGAGGCAGGAGUGGGGAAUAUUGGAAAAGGGGAGAAAGUCUGAUACAGCAAUGCCGCGUGAGAGAUGAAGGCCAGAGGGGUGUAAAGCUCUUUUACCCGAGAUGAAAAAGACAGCAGCGGGAGAAUAAGCUGGGGAUAACUGCG